This 3372-nucleotide unclassified non-coding RNA is filed under the name Nilaparvata lugens (brown planthopper). Its description in RNAcentral is "probable ATP-dependent RNA helicase DDX20, transcript variant X2". The record is from RNAcentral. Lineage: Eukaryota; Metazoa; Arthropoda; Insecta; Hemiptera; Delphacidae.
CGCUCCCGUGCUUAGCUUUUGUGAUUUUGAAUUCAGCUAGCCUAAAAAGUUAUACGAAUAAUACUACUUAGUGAUAUAAAUAUGGCAGAUAAAUGUAAAAAAUGUAAUGAUGUUACACAAGUAAAAGACAGUGUCAAGUGUACCUCCUAUAACAGUGCCUUCCACCCGACCUGUUUGGAUAGAACUGAUUCCAACGAUCCAAUAAAAAAUCACCCCUUCGAAAAAACUGGAAAUGUGAACAAUGCAAUCAAAAUGAUCGUCAAGACAAAGCCUGUGACCAGUCACAAGACAUUCUUGAAGUUAUAAAUGCAUUCCGAAAAGAAAACAACGAGAAACUCGACGCUAUGGAGAGCAAUUUGAAUAAGAUGUCGUCCAAGUUAGCUCAUAAUUUGAGCUCAAAGAUUCGCACUGAAGAUGUCCUUUUACCAGUUGGAAAUAAUUCAGACUUCAAAUCCAUGCUUUUGCGUCCGCUUAUUCUUGAUGGACUAACAAAAGCUGGAUUCAUUCAACCAUCUCCAAUACAACUGAAAGCUAUUCCCCUUGCUCGAUGUGGUCUCGAUCUGAUUGUUCAGUCAAAAUCGGGGACAGGAAAAACAUGUGUAUUCACUGUUGCUGCUCUUGAAUUGCUGAAUAUCGAUAGUCUCCGGCUGCAGGCAUUAGUUGUGGCUCCAACUAGAGAAAUCGCUCUUCAAAUAGAAUAUGUUAUUAAAGAGAUAGGAUCUCAGUUUUCAGGUCUGAAAGUGGUACCAUUGAUUGGUGGCUUGCCCUUGCAAAAGGACAAAGAGCGUCUGAAAGAGGGAUGUCACAUUGUGGUUGGUACGCCUGGUCGGCUUCUGCAUUGCAUAGAAUUGGGACUGAUUGAGUUGAGUGCCGUGCGACUAUUUGUAUUGGAUGAGGCUGAUAUGCUAAUGAACCUCUCCUUCAAAGAUGAUAUCAAUGCGAUAUUUAAGAGUUUACCAGCCAGCAAACAAGUGGUGGUGUGCAGUGCAACGUUCACAUCAGAAUUGAAGUCAUUUCUUGGCAAGUACAUGAACAAUGCACCAACCUACGUGACACCCUCAGGCAAAUGUCCGGUCCUACUCGGUCUGCGCCAUUUUGUGCUGCUCUCUCCUGAUCAGUCGUCAAAUCAGCUGCGAAGAUUGAUCAACAAGGAAAACCAGCUGAUGUCCAUUCUCAAGUCGGUUCCUUUCAGCCAAUGCCUCGUGUUUUCAAAUUACCAAACCAGAGCGGAAAGCAUUUGCUGCAAGCUGCGCCGGAAAGGCUGGGAGAAGUGCUGCGAAUGGAUCGCGGGCAGCCAGGAUCAGGGCACACGUAUUGGCGUGUACGAGCGCGUGCGUGACAUGAAGGCACGCAUCCUGUUGACGACAGACCUGACGGCGCGCGGACUUGACUUUGAGGCGACCAAUCUGGUCGUCAACCUAGACCUGCCCGCCGAUUCGCACACCUAUCUGCAUCGCAUGGCCGCGCCGGCCGCUUUGGAUCUCAAGGAAUCGUUAUAACUUUAUUAGCGCUGGAUGAGAUGGCAAAGUUCAGAACUCUGAUUGGAAAAAUUGGUUCAUAUGCCAAUGCGUGCAUUAUACCAGACAAUGUACUCAAUAAGGAACUUUGGACUUUGAAUUUGGAUGUGUUGGAGGUACUUGAAGGACAUUCUGGGAGCGAGGAACCCGAACCUGAAGAGAUUCCUAAGCCUGAAAGUGAGGAUGUUGCCGAGAUCAAAACUGACAGCGAGUGUGUACACAUGAUCUACUCUUCAAAUGAGGAGGAAGAAGGAAGAACAUGAAAAAACCACUCAACUUCUGGAAUUUGGAUUGAAACUUUUGAGGUUUAAGAAAGCACCAGUGUUCUACUCUUUCAAAAAGCUAGAAGAAUCUCGCAGACAUUUUGUCCGUGAUGCUGCUGCUGCAAACGAUUCAGAAAAGUGCAAAUGGAAGAAAGUGUUGGAGCCUGCAGGUAGCUUGGAAAGUGAUGUUGCCGAGUACUUCAUCUCGUCUUAUGGUCGAAAAAUGGCUGAUGUCACAGAAAGGUGUCGGAAUAUGUACUUUGUCGACGUUAUUAAAAGUUUACCUUGCAAAUCUGAUAGCAGCUUCAAGUUUACAAAUGAUUCCAGCAUUCAAGACUUGAAUCUUGAAAAACUCGAAAUAAGUGUUGAACGUUCAAAUGAAAAUAGGUCUAGUCAUUAUGGAGAUGAUGUAAUGAGUGGAUUGGACUCUCCAAAAUCAGGAUCUUCAAGUCGUCAAUCCCGUUCACCAUCUUUACAUUCUGUACUAUUCUUCGAAGACACUACCGGUGAUACCUCUAAUCGGAUACCUGAUGAAGAUUCUAAGUCAACCCAAUAUUCAGACAAUGACCAAAACAAAAUUAAAAAGCCAAUUCACAUUUUUGUGCCCAAGAGAAAAUUGUGCGAAGUGGAUUCAUCGUCUACUUCAUUUGAACAAGUCAAAGACUUGAGAUCCAAUACACCUGUACAUCAUCAAGAAAAUAACGACUUUCGGUACAUGUGUGGAUCAAAUGUGCAGUCAACAUAUGAAGGGAAUCAAGACUACAGGUAUACCACAGAUGAAUGCAAUAGGCGGCAAUCCACUUCAACCGUACAUUAUCAAGUGAAUCAAUACCCUGAGUACAUGGAUGAAUCCUUUGCGCAGUCGUGUGACUUCACUCCUCAGCAACGUAAAAGGAUAAGACAGGCCUUGAAUCCAUGUUACAAUCCUGCUAUGAAUAGCUAUUAUCAUUAUAACAGUAAUCUUCAUCAAAGUUCACAUAAUUCUUCUAUGCCCUUAGAUCAGUGGAAUGCCCUCUAUCGUCAACAAUUAUCGCAGAAAAGGAUGUAUACUAGUUACUCGUAUUAUAUGCAUCGUAUGCUACAUUCACUAACCUAACAUUGGUGAAACAAUUAAAACGUUAUUGCGUUCUAUAAUUCAACUUUGAGAUUGAUCAAAUCGAUCAAUCCACCUGAUUUAUUAUCAAAUCGUUAUUUUAUAUGGUAUCUGUUGUAUGAUUUAUCUUGAAGAUUGAUUAAAUUAAUCCAUCCAAUUAAUCAUCAGAUUUUUAUCUUAUAUGGAGAUUUACAAUUCUUGAGUUUCAAUAUUCCAAUAAUGUAACCAUAGAAUCCUACACUACUUUUGUAUUCUCUUUUAUGUAAAUAUGAUUUGAUAAUUAUGUGUUUCUCCCAUUUUCUAAUAAUAAAUCUGCUGCAUAUUAUAUCAAUCGCUGUUCCUUGUGAAGAUUUUACAUAUUUCUUAUUCUAAUCUUCAGUUAGUAGCCUAUUUGAAAUUGAAUUAAUGCUUUAUUGAAGUUGAUUCACUCACUGUAUUUUUAGCAUCAUGUUAUGUUGAACACUAAUCAAUUGUAUAAAUAUAUCAGUAAAAAAGGGUA